CAAAUCGCACGCCGCCAGCGACCUCGCGACCCGACCCGACCCAGCCAGCAGCAGCAGGAGGGGAGGAGGGGAGGGAGGGAGAGGGAGAGGGAGAGGUGGAGCACAUUGACGCAUGUAGAGUAGGACAGAGAGAGAGUGGGGGAGGAGAGAGA
Molecule: unclassified non-coding RNA, 152 nt
Filed under: uncultured fungus
Lineage: Eukaryota; Fungi
Description: sequence contains ITS1, 5.8S rRNA gene
Source: RNAcentral